GUUAGGAAUAUUGGACAAUGGGCGCAAGCCUGAUCCAGCCAUGCCGCGUGUGUGAAGAAGGUCUUCGGAUUGUAAAGCACUUUAAGUUGGGAGGAAGGGCAGUAAGUUAAUACCUUGCUGUUUUGACGUUACCGACAGAAUAAGCACCGGCUAACUUCGUGCCAGCAGCCGCGGUAAUACGAAGGGUGCAAGCGUUAAUCGGAAUUACUGGGCGUAAAGCGCGCGUAGGUGGUUUUGUAAGUUGGAGGUGAAAUCCCCGGGCUCAACCUGGGAACUGCCUCCAAAACUGCAUGACUAGAGUACGGUAGAGGGUAGUGGAAUUUCCUGUGUAGCGGUGAAAUGCGUAGAUAUAGGAAGGAACACCAGUGGCGAAGGCGACUACCUGGACUGAUACUGACACUGAGGUGCGAAAGCGUGGGGAGCAAACAGGAUUAGAUACCCGAGUAGCC
This 449-nucleotide ribosomal RNA is filed under the name uncultured bacterium. RNAcentral describes it as "bacterial SSU rRNA". It matches the Rfam family "Bacterial small subunit ribosomal RNA", at positions 354 to 795 of the family's 1533-position model. The record is from RNAcentral.